GAGAUGAUUAUGAGGGAAAGAGUGUGAGGAUCCUCAUGGCCUAGGAAUUGGCCUCCUUUAAUGAGGAGAGUAAGGAGUCCUUUUAUAGAAUAAGGGCUCCUCACUUAUUACAUAUUUUCCCCUUCAUUUAUUACAUAAUUACAUUUGAGUCCCCCGAGUAUUUAUACGAGAUCUAAAUACGAAGGCCCUAAGUAUGGUACAAACAGUAGUCCCCCAAGUCUUCAGUCAAGAGAGUGUUUUGGCUAGAAACUUGAAAUUCAGUCCAUGUGUAGGCUAACUAGAUGUCGUCUAGAACUUGAUACUUGAUAUGAGGCGGUGCCCAAUCUGAAAUGAUGCUCAACUAGAAGUAGCACAUGUUGCGAGGCUACUCUGUUUGUGGCUU
This 382-nucleotide long non-coding RNA is filed under the name Malus domestica (apple). RNAcentral describes it as "long non-coding RNA (MDOM_LNC009095)". Lineage: Eukaryota; Viridiplantae; Streptophyta; Magnoliopsida; Rosales; Rosaceae. The record is from RNAcentral.